RNAcentral lists this small RNA (287 nucleotides) under Microbacterium sp. Root61. RNAcentral's name for it is "5' ureB small RNA". It matches the Rfam family "5' ureB small RNA". Lineage: Bacteria; Bacillati; Actinomycetota; Actinomycetes; Micrococcales; Microbacteriaceae. The record is from Rfam by way of RNAcentral.
CAUAGGCCUGCUGGGGAGAGAUGUAGUGCACGUGGCUGUCGAUGCCGCCCGCGGUGGCGAUGAGGUGCUCGCCGGCCAGGAUCUCGGUGCCCGUCCCGACGACCAGCCGGGGGUCGACGCCGCUCUGCGUGUGCGGGUUGCCGGACUUGCCGAUGCCCGCGAUCUUUCCGUCGCGGAUGCCGAUGUCGCCCUUCACGACGCCCAGGAUCGGAUCCAGGAUGAUCGCGUUGGUGAUCACCAGAUCCAGCACCAUCUGGUCGUUGGUGGCCUGCGGGUCCGCGGCCAUG